Long non-coding RNA from Actinia tenebrosa (Australian red waratah sea anemone), 1488 nucleotides. NCBI's taxonomy places the organism in Eukaryota, Metazoa, Cnidaria, Anthozoa, Actiniaria, Actiniidae. The record is from RefSeq and is a predicted model, not a curated record.
GCACUUUCCAUAGGGUCACUAACAUCUUCCACAACAUCAUUUUCUUUUUCUUUAUCCAAAAAUGAAAGAGCUGAGAAGUCGUCUAAAUCUACCAUGGUAAAUUCCUCGUAAUUCUGAACAAUAGAAGUUUACGAAAUGUUGGGCUUCUUGAUGCGAGAAUGAAAGCAUGAGCGGGGAAAACACGUCCCUUGACCUUAGAUGCAACAGAAAGAGUUAAAAUCAAUAAAUGAUCAAUCAAAAUAAAACUUUUUACGUUAUAAUGUUUUGCCCAUUUCAGACCAUGUGUCAUUCUCUUGAGAAUAAGAUUCUUUGUUUGAGUUGUAUUCAUAUUCAUCUGUCUUCUAAUGCACAACCAUUAAACAAAGAAAUUAUACUUUAGGGAAUGACACAUGGUCAGAAAUGGAAAAAAAUUGCCCAAGAUAAGAAGUCAAUUUAAACUGAUCUUUCAACAACAAAAUGGGUCAAAAGAAAGGAAAAGAAAAGAAAUUCAUAGGGUUUGGGUGUGGGAGUAGCAGUUUGAAACUACUUACUACAAGGUUCACAUCAUGAAUAUCAUCUUCAACCAUUGUCUCAUCUAAGAAAUGAACGAAGUCAUCGACCAUUGUUGAGUUACGUAUAGUUGGUCGUUUCACAAGCCUGUUAUGGAAUAAGCAAUAGACGUUUAUAGGUUUUUAGACAGUGUGUCAUUCCCUAGAGUAUCACUUCUUUGUUUACCGCCGUUUGCAUUACUAUGUGGCCACCCCAGACACAAAUCGUGUCAUGUAGUUUGCAAAAGACUGCCGUCAAUCAAGCACCUCAUUCUACUUGGAUGUACUCAAACKUAUUGCAAUAGCUUUUGGAACUUUCCUUCAUGAUAUCUGACUGAGAAAGUUUGAUAGAAAAGCCAACUCACUGAUCCAAACGUGUAUAAAUGGCGUCAACAUGAAUGAUUGACAGAAGUCCAUUGCAAACUACAUGACUCGAUUUGUGUCUGGGGUGACUGUGUAGUAAUGCAAACGACGGUAACAGGUGCACAUGAGAAGACACAUGAAUAUGGAUACAACUAAAGCAAACCUAUGUCAUGUGGUCUUAAAUGGUUGAAAUUUUUAAAAAAUACUGACGUGAAUAUGGUUUUGGUCAUUACCCUGUAGACGGGUCAACUUGGAGUACAGCAAAUCCCUUGGACUUCCCAUCAGUAAAAACUUUAAUGCCCCGAUGCACCAUGGGGCAUCUAGUGACGUUAUAGUUUAUGACUUCCUUUUGGUCCCAGCCUCCAAACGGCCUGUAUGGGGAAGGAGAUGGUGAAGAGCGUGCAGGUCUUACCACAGGGUGACCACCACCUGCAUUGGUACAAGUGAACAUCUCUCCUCGAUCUGAUGUAGAAAAUAAUACAAAAGGCUGCUGAUUAAGAUUUUUGAACAUUUUAACAUUUUAUUGAUUCACAGGAGUAAUGUUAAUGAAUAAUGAAAAGAAAGUUGAAACUAAAUUAAUUAUAAGAGAAAGAGCUAA